GAUGAGGUAGCAAAGUUAAAGGACGUUGAAAGUGGCGGGAGAAGAUCGACGAGGGUGAUUAGACCGAAUCCAAAAUAUUUGGACUAAGUCUUCUCAAGGUUUAUUUCCUUUAUUUUAGCUAAUAACUAAGUCUUCUUUGACUCCUAAACUGUAGGACCAGAGUAAGCACGUUGUAAUUCAAAUUGAUGCAGUUUGUUUCCAAGUUUGUAGGAACGACAGUUCCAUUUGCUUCUAUAAAAAAAGGAAAAGCCAGAAAGAAUAAAGGCAGAUUGAAUUUGCCAACAAAACUCUUGUGUACUUAUUGUUUACAGUAUUGAUUUCUCAUAUUGUCUACAAUCUCUUGGCUUCUGAAGAGGGACCGCAUCAACGUGGUAUCAGAGCAUCCUAUCCCAAAAUUUUUUUUAUAAACACAGUACACAAUUACUCGACGACGAUCUAAACGUAUCUCAAAACAGGUUGCAGCCAUGGCGAGUACCAAAGAUCGAUUGGAAGGGUUGGAGACAAGUUCUGGAAUGAUGCAAGACGAGAUGCAAAGAAUGUCAACCGCGAUGGUGGACAUGAAAGGAGAACUUGAUGACAAAUUCCGGAAAAUGGAGGAGAACUUUACCCGUUUGAUGGAGGCCGUCACGAGCAGUCGCGAUGACGGAGGAUCCAAUGCCUCGCGGGGCAGUCGACGACCGGAGCAUACUCCACCAAACACCGGUAAUGCGCGGGGAGAUCAAGUUAAUCCCUUCGCACCGAUCACCAGCCGACGCGUAAAACUCGAGUUCCCACGAUUCUCAGGAGGAGAUCCGACCGAAUGGGUGAGCAAGGUCAAACAAUUCUUCGAGUAUCAAGAGAUGGCCCCGGAGCAGCACGUCAGUUUCACUUCAUUCCAUCUGGAUGGAGUUGCGAAUGAAUGGUGGCAGGCGAUCUCAAAAGCUCUGCGGGAGGACCAGGUGGAGAUCACGUGGGAAGUGUUUGAAGAAGAGCUGUGGGCCAGAUUCGGCCCCACAGACGGUGAAGAUUUCCACGAAGCACUCUCCCGAGUCCGCCAAACUGGGUCUUUAAGUGAUUAUCAGCAGGAGUUUGAAAGAUUGCAAAACAAGGUACGCGGUUGGUCACAGCAAGCAUUAGUGGGAACAUUCAUGGGUGGACUUCAACCAGAAAUUGCCGAUGGCAUCAGGAUGUUCCGUCCCAAAACCUUGAAAGAGAUAAUCAAUUAUGUGCGAUUGAUGGAUGGCCAAUUGCAGAGGCUAAAACGGAUGAGCCCAUCCAAACCAGCAUUCAGAUCUUUCACUCCAUCACGACCUAUGACCACUCGGGAACCUCAAACACCAACGCAAGGACCAAAGAAACUAAGUUGGGAAGAGUUAAAGAAGAAGCGUAGCCUUGGUCUUUGUUUCAGCUGCGAUGAAAGGUAUACGCCGGGACAUAAAUGCAAACAGCCCCAGUUGUUCAUCAUGGAGGGUGAGCAAGAUGAUGAUAUGGAUAUCGAGGAUGACGAUGAGAUUGACCCAAAACCGGAGAUUACGGUGUAUGCCUUAGCCGGAUGGGAUACGGCCAACACUAUUCGCAUUCAAGCACAGAUUCGCAAACAGGAGCUCAUCGCUCUGGUUGAUAGUGGUUCCACCCAUAACUUUAUCAGCGAAAAAGCCGCUCGACGACUUAACCUGUCAGUCACACCAAUCUCUCCAUUCUCGGUGCGAGUCGCCGACGGCAAACCAUUGAUAUGUCGACAUCGCUUCGAGGCAGUAUCGAUACAGAUGGGAGGAGCAACUUUUACGGUGACACUGUACGCAUUACCCUUGGUGGGCUUGGAUUUAGUCAUGGGAAUUCAAUGGUUACAAUCUUUGGGCCCAACAUUGUGCGAUUGGCGAGCACAAACUAUGAGAUUUCACUGGACCGGACAGGAAAUUACGCUGAAGGGAAUACAAGCACUGGGCCUCAGGCCCACAACUCAGGAGUCGAUGUCCAAAGAAGCCCGACAAGGCCAAACAAUUUUUGCGAUCAGUAUGGCCCAUGACGACGAACAGCCCUCACCUGUUCCUGAUGAGAUGAGAUGUUUGGUGACGGAGUUCACCGAUCUGUUCGCCGCGCCGUCCCAGUUACCACCGGAUCACGCUCAAAGAAGGAACGGACCCAGUCAAUGUACGGCCGUACCGUUAUGCCUACUACCAAAAAGACGAGAUCGAGCGCCAGGUAGCCGAGAUGCUUAACGCCGGAAUCAUUCGGCCGAGUUCAAGCCCAUUCUCAUCGCCAGUCCUCCUUGUAAAGAAGAAAGAUGGAUCCUGGAGAUUCUGUACGGAUUACCGAGCAUUGAAUGCGGUGACCGUAAAAGAUCGUUUUCCAAUUCCGACAGUUGAAGACAUGUUGGAUGAGCUCAACGGUGCCACCAUUUUCACGAAGCUUGAUCUCACCGCCGGCUAUCACCAGGUUCGUAUGCAUCCGCCGGACAUCCCUAAAACGGCAUUCCGUACCCACAACGGAUAUUACAAAUAUUUGGUCAUGCCGUUCGGCCUUUGCAACGCACCAUCGACCUUUCAGGCACUAAUGAACAAUGUUUUCCGGCAGCUGCUUCGCAAAUCGGUACUUGUUUUCUUUGACGAUAUUUUAAUCUACAGUGCUUCUUUGCAAGAGCAUAUUCAGCACGUCAGAGAGGUGUUUUGCAUCCUGCGACAACACCAACUUGCUGUGAAAUACAAGAAAUGUGCUUUUGGCCAGCCUGAGCUGGAGUAUCUGGGUCACAUCAUUUCCGGGGACGGGGUUAAAGUGGAUCGAGCUAAGAUAGCGGCGAUGCUUGAUUGGCCAACACCAACCACAGUGACGGAGCUGCGUGGGUUUUUAGGCCUCACCGGAUACUAUCGCAAAUUCGUUCGGGAGUACGGCUUGAUUGCACGACCGUUAACCAAUCUUUUGCGCAAGGGCCAAUUUUCGUGGUCAACCGAGGCGGACAAGGCGUUUUCUGACCUGAAGAAGGCACUCACUACGACGCCUACUCUCGCUCUUCCGGAUUUUUCACUUCCCUUUGUGAUCCAAACUGAUGCAUCAGGAGAUGGCAUCGGGGCUGUUCUGUCACAAAACGGUCGACCGAUCGCCUUCAUGAGUCGCACGCUGGGAAUUACGAAACAGUCAUGGUCGACAUACGCUCGGGAAAUGUUGGCCAUUGUUAUCACUAUACGGAUUUGGCGACCAUACCUGAUCGGCCGAAAAUUUACGAUUCAGACAGAUCAGAAGAGUUUACGGUAUUUGCUGGAACAAAGGAUACUCACACCAGAGCAGCAACGCUGGAUGGGUAAGCUAGUUGGUUUUGAUUACGAGAUCACCUACAAACCAGGUCGUGCCAACGCCGCCGCUGAUGCUCUAUCACGAGUCAAUGGGAGUCCAACUUUGGCAGCUAUUUUUGUUCAACAGUCCUCGCUUUGGAAUGAUAUAAGAGCUUUGAACAAAACGGAUCCUUAUUUGAUUCGCAUUGGGAAAUUGGCGGAGACAAAUCCAGGUCGUCCGUAUGAAUGGAAGAACGACCUCAUUUACUACCACAACAGAGUCGUGGUGCCACCUGCAUCUCCUUUCAUUAAGCAACUCUUACGGGAACAUCACGAUACGCCAAUGGGUGGCCACUCCGGUGUUCUGCGAACAUACCGACGCCUCGCUCCUCAGUUCUAUUGGCCAUCCAUGCAUCGCAGUGUCCGUGACUAUGUAGCAUCUUGCGAGGUAUGUCAAAAAGCCAAAUAUUCAUCGUUAUCACCAGCCGGUUUACUGCAACCUUUGCCUGUUCCGUCACAAGUCUGGGAGGAUAUUUCCUUAGACUUUGUCGAUGGUUUGCCCAGAUCAGACGGAAACACUUUGCUGAUGGUGGUGGUCGAUCGUUUAACAAAGUAUGCUCAUCUGAUUCCACUCGCUCAUCCAUAUACGGCUCGUGUGGUGGCUAAUAAGUUCAUUCAUCAUGUCAUGAAACUUCAUGGAGUUCCGCGAUCUAUCGUCAGUGACCGCGAUCCCAUCUUUGUCAGUUCAUUUUGGAAGGAGUUUUGGAAGCUUUCGGGAACGCAGUUGCGUAUGUCCACUGCCUAUCAUCCUCAGUCCGACGGACAGACUGAGGUAGUGAACAGGUGUAUUGAGCAAUUUUUGAGGUGUUUUGUCCAUCACCAUCCGAAACAGUGGAGCUCUUUUCUACCCUGGGCCGAGUUCUGGUAUAAUACGACGUUCCAUGCUUCAACGGGUAUGUCUCCAUUCCAGGCUCUUUAUGGUCGCGCACCACCACUCGUUCCAGCAUACGAAGUGGGCUCUGCUCGUAUUGAGGAACUUGAUGAGCAGAUGGCUUCCCGUGAUGAGCUAUUGGCAGAACUUAAACAUCAUCUGAUCACUGCUAACAAUCGCAUGAAGCAGCUUGCAGAUGCGAAACGGAGGGAUGUACAAUUUGCAGUGGGAGAUUGGGUUUUAUUGCGCAUUCAACCAUAUCGGCAGAAAACGCUCUUCCGCCGCAGUUCGCAGAAGCUGUCACAUCGGUUCUUUGGACCUUUUCAAGUCAACGCUCGAGUAGGAGAAGUCGCUUACCGGCUUACCUUGCCGGAGGGUACCAAAAUCCAUCCCGUUUUCCAUGUCUCGUUGCUCAAACCUUGGAUUGGAGAAGGAACACCGGACAUGGGAGUACUUCCUCCAUUACGUGACAAUGGCGUAUUAAAGUUACAACCUGCAGAAGUGUUACAGGUUCGAUGGAGUCAGGCCGGAGACAAGGACACGGCGGAGGUACGGGUUCACUGGAAGGGACUUCACGCCGAUGAUGCAACAUGGGAACCUUUGGACCAGUUUGAGGUCCGUUUUCCCGAUUUCACCUUGAACCUUGAGGACAAGGUUCGUCUUCAGGCGGAGGGUAUUGAUGAGGUAGCAAAGUUAAAGGACGUUGAAAGUGGCGGGAGAAGAUCGACGAGGGUGAUUAGACCGAAUCCAAAAUAUUUGGACUAAGUCUUCUCAAGGUUUAUUUCCUUUAUUUUAGCUAAUAACUAAGUCUUCUUUGACUCCUAAACUGUAGGACCAGAGUAAGCACGUUGUAAUUCAAAUUGAUGCAGUUUGUUUCCAAGUUUGUAGGAACGACAGUUCCAUUUGCUUCUAUAAAAAAAGGAAAAGCCAGAAAGAAUAAAGGCAGAUUGAAUUUGCCAACAAAACUCUUGUGUACUUAUUGUUUACAGUAUUGAUUUCUCAUAUUGUCUACAAUCUCUUGGCUUCUGAAGAGGGACC
RNAcentral lists this long non-coding RNA (5214 nucleotides) under Eutrema salsugineum. RNAcentral's name for it is "long non-coding RNA (ESAL_LNC000342)". The record is from RNAcentral. Lineage: Eukaryota; Viridiplantae; Streptophyta; Magnoliopsida; Brassicales; Brassicaceae.